AUUGAACGCUGGCGGCAUGCUUUACACAUGCAAGUCGAACGGCAGCGCGGGCUUCGGCCUGGCGGCGAGUGGCGAACGGGUGAGUAAUACAUCGGUACGUGCCCAGUAGUGGGGGAUAGCUCGGCGAAAGCCGGAUUAAUACCGCAUACGACCUGAUGGUGAAAGCGGGGGAUCUUCGGACCUCGCGCUAUUUGAGCGGCCGACGGCAGAUUAGCUAGUUGGUGGGGUAAAGGCCUACCAAGGCGACGAUCUGUAGCUGGUCUGAGAGGACGACCAGCCACACUGGGACUGAGACACGGCCCAGACUCCUACGGGAGGCAGCAGUGGGGAAUUUUGGACAAUGGGCGAAAGCCUGAUCCAGCAAUGCCGCGUGUGUGAUGAAGGCCUUCGGGUUGUAAAGCACUUUUGGCGGGAACGAAAAGGACUGUGCCAAUACCACGGUUCGAUGACGGUACCCGCAGAAUAAGCACCGGCUAACUACGUG
RNAcentral lists this ribosomal RNA (484 nucleotides) under uncultured bacterium. RNAcentral describes it as "partial 16S ribosomal RNA". It matches the Rfam family "Bacterial small subunit ribosomal RNA", at positions 30 to 507 of the family's 1533-position model. The record is from RNAcentral.